UCAUUCCAAUUGCCAGGCGAUAGCCAUUGUGACAGGACCCGAUCCAAAUUUCGCUUUGGAAUUCGAGUCAGACCCUGUGCGUGUCCGACACCUGGCAAAUGUCGGCACAAAAGACCUAUUUGCCCUUCUAUACAAAACACGAUAAAAUAACAAGGUUGACUUCUACCGAAAAACCGACAGAGUUUCCCUUGUAACUAGCUCAAUACCAAAAUAUUUACACCUGUCAAAACAAGUAUACAUAUAUACAAC
Molecule: long non-coding RNA, 249 nt
Filed under: Prunus persica (peach)
Lineage: Eukaryota; Viridiplantae; Streptophyta; Magnoliopsida; Rosales; Rosaceae
Description: long non-coding RNA (PPER_LNC001470)
Source: RNAcentral